This is a long non-coding RNA of Armigeres subalbatus, 198 nucleotides long. RefSeq lists it as uncharacterized. The record is from RefSeq and is a predicted model, not a curated record. The transcript is spliced from 3 exons. NCBI's taxonomy places the organism in Eukaryota, Metazoa, Arthropoda, Insecta, Diptera, Culicidae.
UGUGAUUGUCGAACGGAGUCGAAGUGCGCGCGUGUGUAAUUUCCGUUUCGAGCUAGGUCCAGUGGAAAAGUCUGAUCGUUAAAAGAUUAAGUGUUAGUAACGAUUAAAAAAAGAUUACAAAGAAAAGGUGAAAAGACGAAUUUACUACAAACAAAAGAAUCGUCCACAACGCACAUGUUAAAACAAUAAGAAAAAGGU